Non-coding RNA from Podarcis lilfordi (Lilford's wall lizard), 248 nucleotides. NCBI's taxonomy places the organism in Eukaryota, Metazoa, Chordata, Lepidosauria, Squamata, Lacertidae. The record is from the annotation of a GenBank genome assembly.
GCAUUGCACGCUUGUGCUGUACGUAGCGACGCUGCACAUGUGCUGUAUAGCAGUUUGCUGCCGGUGCUGCUCCAGCGCUGUAUGGACGGUGCUGGGAUCCCUCCAGCGCCGCUACAGGCGUGUUCGUGGCUGCUGCGGCACCGGAGGGAUCCCAGCACCGUCCGUAUGGCACUGGAGUGGCGCCAGCGGCAAACCUCUAUACAGCGCAUGUGAGGCGGCGCUACGUACAGUGCAUGCGUCAUACGUAG